Non-coding RNA from Butyrivibrio proteoclasticus, 72 nucleotides. The record is from Rfam. Lineage: Bacteria; Bacillati; Bacillota; Clostridia; Lachnospirales; Lachnospiraceae.
GACUCUAUGGUAUAAAGGCUAUUAUGCCGGACUGUCUAUCCGGAGAUCAGAGUUCGAUUCUCUGUAGAGUCG